ACGUAAAACUAAUUUCUAACAUCACACUAACUUCAGCAUGGUCGUCAGUCCAUCACACACGUGACAUCAAGCGAAUGGGACAUGAAGCAGUGGCAGUGGUUGAGACAGAGUGUGCAUAACCUUAUACCACCGUUAGGAAGCCAAAAGAAGCAGAAAUAAAUUGCAGUUAAACAUCAAGGUGUAACUUCUGCUCAAUUUAUACGGUAAAUGAUAAAAAAAAUGCAGCAUUGUGGGAAAAGGCAGUAAAUUGCUGAUUUUGCGAAAUCAUACGAAUCUGGGACUGAUGUGUGACCUCAUGGACAGUGAAUAGUAUAUCACUUGGAAGUCCCUUAGGCUAAAAGUGAACACCUAGAGACUGCACUGUAAAUGUAAGCAGAGAUUCAGCCACAUGAGUUAGAGAUCUGGAGACAAAAUGAUG
This is a long non-coding RNA of Clupea harengus (Atlantic herring), 418 nucleotides long. RefSeq lists it as uncharacterized. The transcript is spliced from 3 exons. The record is from RefSeq and is a predicted model, not a curated record. Lineage: Eukaryota; Metazoa; Chordata; Actinopteri; Clupeiformes; Clupeidae.